Saccoglossus kowalevskii is the source of this 560-nucleotide long non-coding RNA. Lineage: Eukaryota; Metazoa; Hemichordata; Enteropneusta; Harrimaniidae. The record is from RefSeq and is a predicted model, not a curated record.
GCAGCCAUGCUCCUAACACGCACUGGAAUGCCACUGUUGAUGAAUGCGUGUGUGACCAUGGGUGGUACUUGGAUGAAGGAACUGCCCAAUGCUCCCGAUGUGUUGAGUGUUGCCCAGGCAACGAAAUUAAAAUUCCAGCUUGUGUUGCCCAAAAUCUUGGCGACAAGAUAUGUACGGAAGUUAAACCGUGUGACUUGCCUGAACCAACCACAGAUUAUGAAUCAGCACUGCCUACCAGACUGAAGGUCGGAAUUAGUAUUGGUGUUGUAAUUACUAUAAUAUCCGUAGUAUUAAUAUCAUUAUUUAUUUAUAAUAAAGGUGGUAAAUGCUGCAAUAGAAUCAGUUAUUACUACACAAAACAAGGAGGAGAACAGCCAGAUGAUGAAUAAUUAGUGCCGCCAGAUCAAUAAUAUUUCUCGGGUUUGCAUACAAGUUUGAUUUGCGAACGCCAUGAGUUGAAUUCAGUGUUCAUCUACUAAUUUAUUAAAUAAAAGAAGCAAAAUACACAAAUUUUCCCCCAGAAAUAAUUUGACAUUUUACGUAGAGAAUCCAUACAUACC